UUGACCCUGCUGUAUUUGUGAUUUUUUAAUUUGAGAGGAACCUAUCAAAAUAACGGGAAUCGAGCCAUUGGCUGCGUAAAUGCCUGACACGAAUCAGGACUUACAAUGCUUAAAAGGUAGAUGCCCACCUUGUAACUUAGGUUUCGAGGUCACUUUAAAACACGGUACAUGCAGGGCAUA
Molecule: non-coding RNA, 180 nt
Filed under: Candidatus Cloacimonadota bacterium
Lineage: Bacteria; Pseudomonadati; Candidatus Cloacimonadota
Also listed under: 1 other name
Description: 6S RNA
Rfam family: 6S / SsrS RNA
About the family: E. coli 6S RNA was the first non coding RNA to be sequenced, but its function was unknown until recently. It consists of 184 nucleotides that fold into an extended hairpin structure with a large single-stranded internal bulge.
Source: RNAcentral